GAGGAUAUAGCUCAAUGGGAGGGCGCAUGCUUGGUAUGCACGAGGUCCUGGGUUCAAUCUCCAGUACCUUCA
This 72-nucleotide transfer RNA is filed under the name Camelus bactrianus (Bactrian camel). It matches the Rfam family "tRNA". From Rfam's summary of the family: Transfer RNA (tRNA) molecules are approximately 80 nucleotides in length. Their secondary structure includes four short double-helical elements and three loops (D, anti-codon, and T loops). RNAcentral also lists the same sequence under 2 other names. Lineage: Eukaryota; Metazoa; Chordata; Mammalia; Artiodactyla; Camelidae. The record is from Rfam by way of RNAcentral.